Small nuclear RNA from Carlito syrichta (Philippine tarsier), 162 nucleotides. Its record names the gene U1. It matches the Rfam family "U1 spliceosomal RNA". From Rfam's summary of the family: U1 is a small nuclear RNA (snRNA) component of the spliceosome (involved in pre-mRNA splicing). Its 5' end forms complementary base pairs with the 5' splice junction, thus defining the 5' donor site of an intron. NCBI's taxonomy places the organism in Eukaryota, Metazoa, Chordata, Mammalia, Primates, Tarsiidae. The record is from Ensembl.
AUACUCACCUGGCUGGGGAGAUAUCAUGAUCAUGAAGGUGAUUUUCCCAAGGUGAAGCUUAUCCAUUGCACUCUGGAUAUGCUGAUCCCUGCAAUUUCACUAAAUGUGGGAAACUCGACUGCUUAAUUUGUAGUAGUGACUGACUGCGUUCGUCCUCUCUCC